CAGCCGCCGCGGUAAUACGUAGGUGGCAAGCGUUGUCCGGAAUUAUUGGGCGUAAAGGGCGCGUAGGCGGACUGAUAAGUCAGGGGUGAAAUCCCAAGGCUCAACCUUGGAACUGCCUUUGAUACUGUUUGUCUUGAGUUCGAGAGAGGUAAGUGGAACUGCGAGUGUAGAGGUGAAAUUCGUAGAUAUUCGCGAGAACACCAGUGGCGAAGGCGGCUUACUGGCUCGAAACUGACGCUGAGGCGCGAAAGCGUGGGGAGCAAACAGGAUUAGAGACCCCCGUAGUCCCUGUCUCUUAUAC
This 301-nucleotide ribosomal RNA is filed under the name uncultured bacterium. RNAcentral describes it as "partial 16S ribosomal RNA". It matches the Rfam family "Bacterial small subunit ribosomal RNA", at positions 509 to 807 of the family's 1533-position model. The record is from RNAcentral.